This is a non-coding RNA of Parasteatoda tepidariorum (common house spider), 1113 nucleotides long. NCBI's taxonomy places the organism in Eukaryota, Metazoa, Arthropoda, Arachnida, Araneae, Theridiidae. The record is from RefSeq and is a predicted model, not a curated record.
CUACUGUAGCAAAAUUGGGCAGUCGACAGCUAUAGCUAAUGUGGAACUUUCAAACCAAAAUAUAGUUGUAAUAAUUAAUAAACUUCAUUUGUUGUUAAUGCUUUUAAGAAAACAAUUGGAACUGAAACCAACGAAGUAUGAGGAAACAAUUUAUAAUUUUUAUUUGAGAACAAAUAUUUUGUGUUAGAAUUUUAAGAUUUCAAAAUUUUAGCUGGACACUUGAAAAUUUAAAGUGCAUGAUUUUUUAAAGAUAGAGUUUAACCUAUUAUAUCUUUUCAUUAUUUUCUUGCAUAAUUUUAGUAAUGAAAUAUGAAAAGAAAGCACUUUCGUGGAAAUAUGCAGCUCUCCCGUAUAACUUAUACAAUCUUUGACUCUCCUUCCGUCAUUUGAUACAAUGAAAAAACAGGCUUUGCAAAGAGACAGGAGACAAGGCCUGUUUUACCAAAAGAAGAGCUUCCUAUAACUGAAGAAUGAUGCAGCAUAAAUCAAGAAUAAUUUCAUGCUUGUGUAAUCGGAGGUGAACGAUUUUCGAUAUGGCUACACACUCUGAAUUGAAUUCAACAAGCAGCAUGAGAAUUUUGGGUACUUUUCCAAUUUGCCGGCGCAGGCGUCCAAAAUGCCACAUCACCGUGCGCAAGUUCAUAGACUUCACUAUUAAAGCAAUACAAAACUGAUGAACAAAUAAGAUGGUGGAUCUGGUGUAGACGUCCUAUUUGUAAAGAACAUUUAGAACCAUUUCGAUAGUGGAAAUGAAAGAACAACUAAUAAUGUGGAAGGGCAGCAUUCCAAAUUAAUUCGAAGGACACAAACCUACCACCAAGAUAUUUUCACCGUGAUUGACAUGCUGAAAGAAAUCCAGGGGGGAAAUGAAGGUAAAAUGAACAUGCAUGUUGAGUGAACUCCCAAAAACAGAGGGUAACUUAUAAAGUUCCUAAUUAAUGCAUCUAAGCACUGAAAGAAGAAUCAAUAUGACGGAGCACGGUCCCUGCCGCAGGGUUACCGCAGGGGGAUCAAGAAGUAAUAGAAACUCUUAAUAGUGACAAUUUAAAUGUAAAUUUUAUUUCUAAUAUGGAAAAAGAUUUUAAUAAAUAUUACAAUAUUAAACCAAUGAAA